This 72-nucleotide transfer RNA is filed under the name Ovis aries (sheep). It matches the Rfam family "tRNA". From Rfam's summary of the family: Transfer RNA (tRNA) molecules are approximately 80 nucleotides in length. Their secondary structure includes four short double-helical elements and three loops (D, anti-codon, and T loops). RNAcentral also lists the same sequence under 1 other name. Lineage: Eukaryota; Metazoa; Chordata; Mammalia; Artiodactyla; Bovidae. The record is from Rfam by way of RNAcentral.
UCCCUGGUGGCUCAGACAGUAAAGCAUCUGCCUACAAUGCAGGAGACCCGGGUUCAAUCCCUGGGUAGGGAA